RNAcentral lists this ribosomal RNA (191 nucleotides) under Pleosporales sp. RNAcentral's name for it is "partial small subunit ribosomal RNA". Lineage: Eukaryota; Fungi; Ascomycota; Dothideomycetes; Pleosporales. The record is from RNAcentral.
UGGGAUAACCAAGCUUUGGUGAUAAGACCCGACAGGUCAAGGCACCAAAGGGCAGCUGGAGCAAUCCAACUGCUGGUAGGUUCACUUUUCAAAAUGUGAACCUUUAAUUGCUGUGAUGCCCUUAGAUGUUCUGGGCCGCACGCGCGCUACACUGACAGAGCCAACGAGUUCUUCACCUUGGCCGAAAGGUC